Molecule: small nucleolar RNA, 138 nt
Organism: Tachyglossus aculeatus (Australian echidna)
Lineage: Eukaryota; Metazoa; Chordata; Mammalia; Monotremata; Tachyglossidae
Source: RefSeq, a predicted model, not a curated record
AUCCUCUCAGGGUCACACCUGGAGAGUUUCCAGUAUUCGACCAGUCUUGACUACCAGAGGGAGAGUCAAGCAAAGGCAUACCCAUUCCAUUCCUAGCUUGGGCAGUGGAUAGUGAGUGGAAGGCAAUUUGCUACAAGU